Molecule: ribosomal RNA, 460 nt
Filed under: uncultured bacterium
Lineage: Bacteria
Description: partial 16S ribosomal RNA
Rfam family: Bacterial small subunit ribosomal RNA
Source: RNAcentral
CCUACGGGAGGCAGCAGUGAGGAAUAUUGGUCAAUGGGCGAGAGCCUGAACCAGCCAAGUCGCGUGAAGGAUGACGGCCCUACGGGUUGUAAACUUCUUUUGUCAGGGAGCAAUUGGGUCCACGCGUGGGCUUAGCGAGAGUACCUGAAGAAAAAGCAUCGGCUAACUCCGUGCCAGCAGCCGCGGUAAUACGGAGGAUGCGAGCGUUAUCCGGAUUUAUUGGGUUUAAAGGGUGCGUAGGCGGAAUAUCAAGUCAGCGGUAAAAAUUCGGGGCUCAACCCCGUCGUGCCGUUGAAACUGAUGUUCUUGAGUGGGCGAGAAGUAUGCGGAAUGCGUGGUGUAGCGGUGAAAUGCAUAGAUAUCACGCAGAACUCCGAUUGCGAAGGCAGCAUACCGGCGCCCGACUGACGCUGAGGCACGAAAGCGUGGGGAUCGAACAGGAUUAGAUACCCUUGUAGUC